RNAcentral lists this ribosomal RNA (577 nucleotides) under uncultured Fusobacteriota bacterium. RNAcentral's name for it is "bacterial SSU rRNA". It matches the Rfam family "Bacterial small subunit ribosomal RNA", at positions 108 to 699 of the family's 1533-position model. The record is from RNAcentral. Lineage: Bacteria; Fusobacteriati; Fusobacteriota.
GAGUAACGCGUAAAGAACUUGCCUUACAGACUGGGACAACAUUUGGAAACGAAUGCUAAUACCGGAUAUUAUGAUUGGGUCGCAUGAUCUGAUUAUGAAAGCUAUAUGCGCUGUGAGAGAGCUUUGCGUCCCAUUAGUUAGUUGGUGAGGUAACGGCUCACCAAGACGAUGAUGGGUAGCCGGCCUGAGAGGGUGAACGGCCACAAGGGGACUGAGACACGGCCCUUACUCCUACGGGAGGCAGCAGUGGGGAAUAUUGGACAAUGGACCAAAAGUCUGAUCCAGCAAUUCUGUGUGCACGAAGAAGUUUUUCGGAAUGUAAAGUGCUUUCAGUUGGGAAGAAGUCAGUGACGGUACCAACAGAAGAAGCGACGGCUAAAUACGUGCCAGCAGCCGCGGUAAUACGUAUGUCGCAAGCGUUAUCCGGAUUUAUUGGGCGUAAAGCGCGUCUAGGCGGCUUAGUAAGUCUGAUGUGAAAAUGCGGGGCUCAACCCCGUAUUGCGUUGGAAACUGCUAAACUAGAGUACUGGAGGGGUAGGCGGAACUACAAGUGUAGAGGUGAAAUUCGUAGAUAUUU